ACAGGGUGACAGGUUGGUGCAUGGUUGUCGUCAGCUCGUGUCGUGAGAUGUUGGGUUAAGUCCCGCAACGAGCGCAGCCCUGCCUCUAGUUGCCAGCAUUCGGUUGGGCACUCUAGAGGGACUGCCGGCGACAAGUCGGAGGAAGUGGGAUGACGUCAAAUCAUCAUGCCCCUUAUGACCUGGGCUACACACGUGCUACAAUGGGCGGUACAAAGGGCUGCGAACCCGCGAGGGGGAGCGAAUCCCAAAAAGCCGCUCUCAGUUCGGAUUGCAGGCUGCAACUCGCCUGCAUGAAGCCGGAAUCGCUAGUAAUCGCGGAUCAGCAUGCCGCGGUGAAUACGUUCCCGGGCCUU
This 353-nucleotide ribosomal RNA is filed under the name uncultured Geobacillus sp. Its description in RNAcentral is "bacterial SSU rRNA". It matches the Rfam family "Bacterial small subunit ribosomal RNA", at positions 1026 to 1382 of the family's 1533-position model. Lineage: Bacteria; Bacillati; Bacillota; Bacilli; Caryophanales; Anoxybacillaceae. The record is from RNAcentral.